This 233-nucleotide unclassified non-coding RNA is filed under the name plant metagenome. Its description in RNAcentral is "partial contains small subunit ribosomal RNA, internal transcribed spacer 1, and 5.8S ribosomal RNA". The record is from RNAcentral.
UUUCCGUAGGUGAACCUGCGGAAGGAUCAUCAUUGGAUUUUGAAACUUCAGGCUGCUGCUGGCUCUCCUCGGAGGGCAUGUGCACGCUUGUUGUCCAUUAUUUCUCCCACUGUGCACAAAUUGUAGACCUUUCAGUAGGCCUAUGUUGUUUUUCACAAUCUCUGAAUGUAAUAGAAUGGUUUUGAAUCUUGGGAAAUACAAUACAACUUUCAACAACGGAUCUCUUGGCUCUC